Vespa mandarinia (Asian giant hornet) is the source of this 576-nucleotide long non-coding RNA. Lineage: Eukaryota; Metazoa; Arthropoda; Insecta; Hymenoptera; Vespidae. The record is from RefSeq and is a predicted model, not a curated record.
UUUUCUCAAUCUCUGUUGUGUCCCAGAUUGCUUUCCAGCUUGGAUGGCGAAACGCGUAAUAACGUUUCAUUCUGACGCACGUAAUUUAACGUUUUAUUCGCGCGGAGAAAUAUAUCUUUUUUUUUUUCUUUACAUUUUGUGCGUCGUCGUGGUAUAUAUAUAUAUAUAUGUACAUCGUAUGUAUGUAUAUAUAUAUAUUAUAUAGUUAUAUAGAUUAUCUAGUUCCGUGUCGAGUUGCUUUCAUUUGGUACGAUCGCGUAUGACAAAAUGGCGGACGCGGGAGCUUUCCCCUUUACGGUAACAAAAAAGAAAAAGUAAUCCAACGACAUCAGACGGAAAAUGAGUGUUGGCAUUUUUUACAAUUGUACUACCAGCGUGACGUUACUAUGAUAAAACAUUUGAGUGUAAACUUUCAAAUCCGUUUUUGGACAGCCGAGAAUCUUCCUCGUACAUUCAUUGCAGCCGAAUUCUGGUUAGUCAAUUGUUCACGAUUGACAAUAAUGUACGCUUACCUGGAAUCUGUGAACUGAACCGUGAAGCCUUAUGAAUGACUUCUGAGUCUGAAUUUUAUGAGAA